AUCCAACGGACGAGUCCGAAAUAGGACGAAACGCGCGUCAAACUAGAU
Schistosoma mansoni is the source of this 48-nucleotide non-coding RNA. NCBI's taxonomy places the organism in Eukaryota, Metazoa, Platyhelminthes, Trematoda, Strigeidida, Schistosomatidae. The record is from Rfam.